AUCAACUUCCAGAGAUUACAAUUAAUGUGCUUAAAAACAACAAUAACAGCAACGACAGAGUGCCAGCCGCCUUUGCAAGCAAGGACGUUGGGAAGUGAACGUAACCGCGUCCUUCCCUCCCGUCCGGGAGCUUCAAGUGCUACUGUGCUACAUCAGAUGUAGAAGUACCAUUUGUGUGAAAAUAGUGUCAUUGGAGUAUGAAAUGCAUUUGUUCAGUGUCUUAUUUCAAGCAUGUGGUGAGUGCUGGGGAGAGACCUGAUGUGGCAGUGCAGAGGAAGAGGCUGUGGAGAAAAGACUUCCAAUCCAGUUCACAGACAGCUUCAGAAGCACACACUGGAUGGCAGCAGGAGCUGGGCAGAGGCCCUGGAAGCCCUUACAAAGGAC
Molecule: long non-coding RNA, 384 nt
Organism: Jaculus jaculus (lesser Egyptian jerboa)
Lineage: Eukaryota; Metazoa; Chordata; Mammalia; Rodentia; Dipodidae
Exons: 3
Source: RefSeq, a predicted model, not a curated record